GACGAACGCUGGCGGCGUGCUUAACACAUGCAAGUAGAACGGAAAGGCCCUGCUUUUGUGGGGUGCUCGAGUGGCGAACGGGUGAGUAACACGUGAGUAACCUGCCCUUGACUUUGGGAUAACUUCAGGAAACUGGGGCUAAUACCGGAUAGGAGCUCCUGCUGCAUGGUGGGGGUUGGAAAGUUUCGGCGGUUGGGGAUGGACUCGCGGCUUAUCAGCUUGUUGGUGGGGUAGUGGCUUACCAAGGCUUUGACGGGUAGCCGGCCUGAGAGGGUGACCGGCCACAUUGGGACUGAGAUACGGCCCAGACUCCUACGGGAGGCAGCAGUGGGGAAUAUUGCACAAUGGGCGGAAGCCUGAUGCAGCAACGCCGCGUGCGGGAUGACGGCCUUCGGGUUGUAAACCGCUUUCGCCUGUGACGAAGCGUGAGUGACGGUAAUAGGUAAAGAAGCACCGGCUAACUACGUG
Molecule: ribosomal RNA, 468 nt
Filed under: uncultured bacterium
Lineage: Bacteria
Description: partial 16S ribosomal RNA
Rfam family: Bacterial small subunit ribosomal RNA
Source: RNAcentral